GUGAGGAAUUUUGCGCAAUGGGGGAAACCUUGACGCAGCAACGCCGCGUGAGUGAUGAAGGCCUUCGGGUCGUAAAGCUCUGUCAAGUGGGAAGAAUCUGAUUAUUGUUAAUACCAGUAAUCACUGACGGUACCAUUGAAGGAAGCACCGGCUAACUCCGUGCCAGCAGCCGCGGUAAUACGGAGGGUGCAAGCGUUAUUCGGAAUUAUUGGGCGUAAAGAGCGCGUAGGCGGCCAGUUAAGUCAGAUGUGAAAUCCCGGGGCUCAACCCCGGAAGUGCAUUUGAAACUAAUUGGCUUGAGUAUGGGAGAGGGAAGUGGAAUUCCUGGUGUAGAGGUGAAAUUCGUAGAUAUCAGGAGGAACACCGGUGGCGAAGGCGACUUCCUGGACCAAUACUGACGCUGAGGCGCGAAGGCGUGGGGAGCAAACAGGAUUAGAUACCCCAGUAGUCC
RNAcentral lists this ribosomal RNA (451 nucleotides) under uncultured bacterium. RNAcentral's name for it is "bacterial SSU rRNA". It matches the Rfam family "Bacterial small subunit ribosomal RNA", at positions 354 to 796 of the family's 1533-position model. The record is from RNAcentral.